CAUGGGUCACUGAAACCUCUUUUUGGAGGUUGCAGUGAGCCGAGAUUGCGCCACUGCACUCCAGCUUGGGUGACAAAGCGAGACUGUCUCAAAAAAAAAAAAAUUAAACCUCUUUUCUCUAGAAAUUACCCAGUCUCAGGUAUUCCUUUACAGCAAUGGAAGAACAGCCUAAUACAUGCUUAGAGCACUGGUGCUGUGAAGUGUGAGGUUAGGGCUGAAAAAUGAUCUCUGCUUUGUCCCCUCUCCUGACUAAUUCAGCAUUUCUCAACCACUGGACUCUAUUUACGUGUGUGGUGCAAACCUUUAAUCAUUAUGCAAAAUUGUUUUUGCUGCAGCAAAGAAAAGAUGGCAGUCUAUGUUGUCCACUGGAUAGAACGUUGAGAUGCAGGGCAAAGCAGGGCACAGCUCUCCCUCUACACCAAGGACACGUUUUACCAUUUCACCAUGGCAUGAUGCGGCAUGAAGGCCCUUGCUAGAAGCCAGUGCCAUUCUCUUGGACUUCCCAGCCUCCAGAACCGUGAGCCAAAUAAAUUUCUGUUGAUUAUAAAUUACCCAGUUGGUGGUAUUCUGUUGUAGCAACACAAAACGGACUAAGACACACUACAAUAAAUGUGGCAGUUUAUCUUGAAUAAAACCUGAAGUUUAAAGUUCAAGAAAGAGUGACAGCUUGUGAGAUACUGUGCAGUGGCAGAAGUGUUACCAGAAUGGAAUCCCAAUCCAGACCCCAAGAGAGGGUUCUUGGACCUUGUGCAAGAAACAAUUUGGGGUGAGUCCAUAUAGUAAAGUAAAAGCAAGUUUAUUAGAGAAGUAAAGAAACAAAAGAAUGGUUACUACAUAAGCAGAGCAGCCCCAAGGGCUGCUGGUUGGCUGUUUUUAAUCAUUAUUUCUUAAUUAUAUGCUAAACAAGGGAUGGAUUAUUCAUGAGUUUUCCAGGAAAGGGGUGGGAAAUUCCCGGAACUGAGGGUUCCUCCCCUUUUUAGGUCAUACAGACUAACUUCCUU
This 1001-nucleotide long non-coding RNA is filed under the name Homo sapiens (human). RNAcentral's name for it is "HSALNT0154326". The record is from RNAcentral. Lineage: Eukaryota; Metazoa; Chordata; Mammalia; Primates; Hominidae.